CUGAAACCGUGUGCCUACAAGUAGUCAGAGCCCGUUAAAGGGUGAUGGCGUGCCUUUUGUAGAAUGAACCGGCGAGUUGCGUUAGCCAGCGAGGUUAAGUCAGAAAAGACGGAGCCGCAGCGAAAGCGAGUCUGAAUAGGGCGAGCAGUUGGCUGAUGCAGACCCGAAACCAAGUGACCUACCCAUGACCAGGUUGAAGGCGCGGUAAAACGCGCUGGAGGACCGAACCCACGUAAGUUGAAAAUUGCGGGGAUGAGUUGUGGGUAGCGGUGAAAUUCCAAACGAACUUGGAGAUAGCUGGUUCUCUCCGAAAUAGCUUUAGGGCUAGCCUCGCAAAGAGGAUGCUGGAGGUAGAGCUCUGUUUGGACUAGGGGCCCGUCAGGGGUUACUGAAUCCAGAUAAACUGCGAAUUCCAGACAUUUAUAUGCGGGAGUCAGACUGCGAGUGAUAAGAUCCGUAGUCGAAAGGGAAACAGCCCAGAUCACCAGUUAAGGUCCCUAAAUACAUGCUAAGUGGAAAAGGAUGUGGAGUUGCGCAGACAACUAGGACGUUGGCUCAGAAGCAGCCAUCAUUCAAAGAGUGCGUAAUAGCUCACUAGUCGAGUGACGCCGCGCCGAAAAUUUACCGGGGCUAAGCAUGAUACCGAAACUGUGGAUGCAUACAAAAGUAUGCGUGGUAGGAGAGCGUUCCAGCGGCGAAGAAGCAUGACUGAGAAGACAUGUGGAGCUUCUGGAAGUGAGAAUGCCGGUAUGAGUAACGAAAGACAGGUGAGAAUCCUGUCCGCCGCAAGACUAAGGUUUCCUGGGGCAGGCUCGUCCGCCCAGGGUAAGUCGGGACCUAAGGCGAGGCCGAGAGGCGUAGUCGAUGGACAACAGGUAGACAUUCCUGUACUGCACCCAAUCGUUAUGAGCGAAGGAGGGACGCAGGAGGCUAGCAGCGCAUGGUGCUGGAAACCAUGUUCAAGCGCUGAGUCUGGAAAUGAGUCAAAUGCUUAUUUCCUUAAGGACAAGGCGUGAUGAGGAGCGAAAUUAAAGUAGCGAAGGCUGCGACGUCACACUGCCAAGAAAAGCUUCUAGCCAGAGAAGGUGCACCCGUACCGCAAACCGACACAGGUAGUCGAGGAGAGUAUCCUCAGGUGAGCGAGAGAACUCUCGUUAAGGAACUCGGCAAAAUGGCCCCGUAACUUCGGGAGAAGGGGCGCUGGUCGCAAGAUCAGCCGCAGUGAAAAGGCCCAAGCAACUGUUUAUCAAAAACACAGGCAUCUGCAAAAUCGUAAGAUGAAGUAUAGGUGCUGACACCUGCCCGGUGCUGGAAGGUUAAGAGGAGAGCUUAGCGCAAGCGAAGGUUUGAAUUGAAGCCCCAGUAAACGGCGGCCGUAACUAUAACGGUCCUAAGGUAGCGAAAUUCCUUGUCGGGUAAGUUCCGACCUGCACGAAAGGUGUAAUGAUUUGGGCACUGUCUCAACGAGAGACUCGGUGAAAUUAUAAUACCCGUGAAGAUGCGGGUUACCCGCGACAGGACGGAAAGACCCCAUGGAGCUUUACUGCAGUUUAAUAUUGGGUAUCUGUCAAGCAUGUACAGGAUAGGUAGGAGCCGGAGAAGAUAGGACGCCAGUCUUAUCGGAGGCGCUGUUGGGAUACUACCCUUGCUUGACGGAUGCUCUAACUCAGGCGUGUAAACCAGGCCGAGGACAGUGUUUGACGGGCAGUUUGACUGGGGCGGUCGCCUCCUAAAGUGUAACGGAGGCGCUCAAAGGUUCCCUCAGAAUGGUUGGAAAUCAUUCGCAGAGUGUAAAGGUAAAAGGGAGCUUGACUGCGAGAGAGACAACUCGAGCAGGUACGAAAGUAGGACUUAGUGAUCUGGUGGCGCCGCAUGGAAGGGCCAUCACUCAACGGAUAAAAGCUACCCUGGGGAUAACAGGCUUAUCUCCCCCAAGAGUUCACAUCGACGGGGAGGUUUGGCACCUCGAUGUCGGCUCGUCGCAUCCUGGGGCUGAAGUCGGUCCCAAGGGUUGGGCUGUUCGCCCAUUAAAGCGGCACGCGAGCUGGGUUCAGAACGUCGUGAGACAGUUCGGUCCCUAUCCGUCGUGGGCGCAGGAAAUUUGAGA
Molecule: ribosomal RNA, 2107 nt
Filed under: Lactobacillus equicursoris DSM 19284 = JCM 14600 = CIP 110162
Lineage: Bacteria; Bacillati; Bacillota; Bacilli; Lactobacillales; Lactobacillaceae
Rfam family: Bacterial large subunit ribosomal RNA
Source: RNAcentral